This is a small nucleolar RNA of Diospyros lotus (date-plum), 154 nucleotides long. RefSeq annotates it as small nucleolar RNA snoR136. The record is from RefSeq and is a predicted model, not a curated record. The transcript has a single exon. Lineage: Eukaryota; Viridiplantae; Streptophyta; Magnoliopsida; Ericales; Ebenaceae.
GAGGCUUCACUUGAAUCAUUUUGCUUUCACAAUGUCGCCAAAAUUGCGCUGGUCUGUUUGGCGAAGCUCGCAAGUGAAGCUAUAAGAGCUCGUUCCCCUCGCUAUCCAGUGUCGCUAGUUUUGUGGCGCAUUUGGACGUUGGGGAACUACAUUA